RNAcentral lists this non-coding RNA (353 nucleotides) under Symbiodinium microadriaticum. RNAcentral describes it as "Eukaryotic small subunit ribosomal RNA". It matches the Rfam family "Eukaryotic small subunit ribosomal RNA", at positions 107 to 434 of the family's 1831-position model. The record is from Rfam by way of RNAcentral. Lineage: Eukaryota; Dinophyceae; Suessiales; Symbiodiniaceae.
GAGUGGCAUUGUACCGGACAGGUGUGAACGAGACGCAACGAGAGAAGGCCGCAUCGUCGGCUUGCGAGUGGGAUAACUGUGGUAAUUCUAGAGCUAAUACAUGCACCAAAACCCAACUUCGCAGAAGGGUUGUAUUUUUUUUUAGAUACAGAACCAACGCAGGCUCCGCCUGGUUGUGGUGAUUCAUGAUAACUCGAUGAAUCGUGUGGCUUGGCCGACGAUGCAUCUUUCAAGUUUCUGACCUAUCAGCUUCCGACGGUAGGGUAUGGGCCUACCGUGGCAAUGACGGGUAACGGAGAAUUAGGGUUUGAUUCCGGAGAGGGAGCCUGAGAAACGGCUAUGCAGCCGGCGGG